This is a non-coding RNA of Entophlyctis luteolus, 73 nucleotides long. The record is from the annotation of a GenBank genome assembly. Lineage: Eukaryota; Fungi; Chytridiomycota; Chytridiomycetes; Chytridiales; Chytriomycetaceae.
GGUUUCUUAGUGUAGUGGUUAUCACAUCUCCUUUACACGGAGAAGGUCGUGGGAUCGAUCCCCACAGAAACCA